GGCGGAGGGUGCAAACGUUGUUCGGAAUCACUGGGCAUAAAGCGCACGUAGGCGGUCAAGCAAGUUCGAUGUGAAAGCCCUCGGCUCAACCGGGGAAUGGCAUCGAAUACUACUUGGCUCGAGGGUGGUUGGGGUGAGUGGAACUCCUGGUGGAGCGGUGAAAUGCGUAGAUAUCAGGAGGAACACCAGUGGCGAAAGCGGCUCACUGGACCACAUCUGACGCUGAGGUGCGACAGCUAGGGUAGCGAACGGG
This 253-nucleotide ribosomal RNA is filed under the name uncultured bacterium. RNAcentral's name for it is "partial 16S ribosomal RNA". It matches the Rfam family "Bacterial small subunit ribosomal RNA", at positions 524 to 776 of the family's 1533-position model. The record is from RNAcentral.